Molecule: ribosomal RNA, 253 nt
Filed under: uncultured bacterium
Lineage: Bacteria
Description: partial 16S ribosomal RNA
Rfam family: Bacterial small subunit ribosomal RNA
Source: RNAcentral
GACAGAGGGCGCAAACGUUGUUCGGAUUUACUGGGCGUAAAGCGCUUGUAGGCGGCUUUGCAAGUCGGAUGUGAAAUCCCACGGCUCAACCGUGGAAGUGCGUCCGAAACUGCAUCGCUGGAGUCUCGGAGAGGAAGGUGGAAUGCUUGGUGUAGAGGUGAAAUUCGUAGAUAUCAAGCAGAACACCUGCGGCGAAGGCGGGCUUCUGGACGAUGACUGACGCUGAGACGCGAAAGCGUGGGGAGCAAACAGG